Molecule: ribosomal RNA, 363 nt
Filed under: beta proteobacterium W-2029
Lineage: Bacteria; Pseudomonadati; Pseudomonadota; Betaproteobacteria
Description: bacterial SSU rRNA
Rfam family: Bacterial small subunit ribosomal RNA
Source: RNAcentral
ACUCUAAUGANACUGCCGGUGACAAACCGGAGGAAUGUGGGGAUGACGUCAAGUCCUCAUGGCCCUUAUAUCGUAGGGCUACACACGUCAUACAAUGGCUGGUACAUAGGGUUGCCAACCCGCGAGGGGGACCUAAUCCCAUAAAACCAGUCGUCUUCCGGAUCGCAGUCUGCAACUCGACUGCGUGAAGUCCGAAUCGCUAGUAAUCGCGGAUCAUAAUGUCGCGGUGAAUACGUCCCCGGGUCUUGUACACACCGCCCGUCACACCAUGGGAGCGUGGUUCUGCCAGAAGUAAUUAGCCUAACCGCAAGGAUGGCGAUUACCACGGCAGGGUUCGUGACUGGGGUUAANUCGUUACAAGGU